RNA transcript from Zea mays, 3178 nucleotides. RefSeq lists it as uncharacterized. The record is from RefSeq and is a predicted model, not a curated record. Lineage: Eukaryota; Viridiplantae; Streptophyta; Magnoliopsida; Poales; Poaceae. The transcript is spliced from 4 exons.
GCCCCGACCCCAAUACCCGCCUCCCCAUCCGCGCUUGACUACGUCCGCCCUAGCGCUCCUCCAUCCCAUCGUCUCCCCGGAAACCUUGUCGUCACCCUCUCCCGCGAACUCCGUGUCGAUAGUUCCGCUCUUCGGCUCGGGCGCUCGGUCGUUCCGUUCCCCAUUCUUCUCGUACGCGGCCGAUUGUGACCCUCGCCCUCGCCUCCCCACACCACCUAAAAUGCCCUGCCUCCGCGCCCGCUCGUCAUCCCCGCGCCGCCUCGUGGACGCCCCGGUCGGCGAUGUGGCGGGAGCAUGCGGCCCGCUCCUCAGGCUCCUCUCGGCGUGCGGCGGGGUCUGGCCCACCUCGCCGGUCCCCGGCGCCGCGGCCUCCUCCUCCACCUUCUCUAGGGACGACUCAGAAGGCAGUGACGGCCUCCUCCGGGGAUGACUCGGAAUCGAGGCCGGCCCGUGCUCGUGAAUCCUCCGUCGGGCGCGGCGCCAUCGGCGUUCCUCUGCUGUGUGAUCCCUAAAACCCCGCGGUGCUCUAGCGACCCCGCGAUAUGGGACGACGACGACGACGGGAGGCGUUUCGGCCGUGCUUCGUGGAUUUAUAUCCUUGAUUUUUGUUUUUGAUCUCAAGGAUUAGCUGGGAAUACGAUCGUCGCAGUUGCUGCACUCGGGCUCUUCCUCGCCAAGAGGAACAUAAACACACCUCAGCGAAGAGUAGGGCAAGAAAGAGAUAAAAGCAACAUUCUUCAGUUUGAAGCAAGGGACUAUAAAUUCCACUUCGCUGCAAUGAAGAGAUGUGUACCAAGCAUUCUCUGGUUGGAGCCCUUCUCUGUUAUCCAUUCCACUUCUUUUACGGAACACCAUCAGAACAUUCUUUAAAAAAGAUAUAAUUAUGUGAUAUAUAGAAACCAUAGUGACGCACGGUCUCCUACCUAGUUUAGUGUCAUAAGUUUUAACGCUCGAUUCUGAAAAUUCGGCCAAUCUUAAAAAGAUUUGGAAAUACGUAGCUUCCGUGCAGAGCAGUAUCAAAAUGUUGAUCCUCUAUUACGAAUUUACGAAUUUACGAUGCAGGCGUGAUUAAUUAAUAUUUCCUCAGUCCCAAACUAAAAUUGGUUUUACUUUUUUUACUGAAUUUAUACAAUAAUUAAUGUUAUGUGUUCUAUAUUUAUAUAUCUAAAUUCAUAAUCAUUCAUAUGAAUAUGGAUAUAAUAAUCUAGAUCCAAAACAACUAAUAUUCUAAAUCAGAGGGAGUAUUUUAAGGAAACUGAUAUGUUUGUUUCAAUACUCGGCGUCUCAAAACAAAUUAAUUUUUAGAGUUAUUUUAAGUUUAACUAUUUAAAGUUUGACCUUGUUUAUAGAAUUUUGAUUAUAUUGUAUUAUUGUUUGCACAAAUUUUAUUUUAAACUACUCUUAGUUAGUACUCUCUUCGUCUUAAAAUAUUAGUUGUUUUAGCCUUUAAUUUUUAUAUCUAUAUUUAAAUAGAUGAUAAUAACUUUAGACAUAUAUAUAUAACACAUAUAUUGAUUAUUGUAUGAAUCAACUAAAAAUGUAAAAACAAUUUUUUUAAUUUUGUAACGGAGGGAGUAACAUUUAGAGCAGUUACGGCGCUGUAAAAAACUCAUUUUAAGAAGAGGACAAGGAAUUGUUGUUCACUUGUUUUUGAUUGGUGUGAACCAAAAACAAGGCAACACAAAUGUCAAACAUUAAAAACAUUCGAUCUUCGAAGCAUUAUCUCUUUCUGAGUAUAAUGAUCUUCAGACGAAUGUCACGGAAAACAAGUCUUCAUUAUUCAUAAAAGUAAGAAUUUAUAUACAUGAAAUGUAAUAUCCAUCCAUAUGUUUAUUUCAUAACAAAUGUAUAAAAAUUAUAAUGUUUACAUUAAAUUGAUACAUUCGGCUUGUUUGAAGUUGAUGACGCGAGAGCAAUUACAAUUCAGCGUGAACAGUACGGGGGUACUGUUCAUCUAUUUAUAGGUAACCGUAAAACUUUAUGCGUUAUUACAUUCAUGCCCUCAACAAUUACAUACAGAGUUUACAAAAUGUCACAAGGACAGUAUCGCCAUUUGUACUUAUUAACUUGAACACCUUCUCCUUACAUUGACUUCCCGUUUCACCGUGACGAAGCCCGUUAAACGAAGCUUGCUUCGUCGUGCUUCUCUUGUGUUUUGUCGAAGCUUUUCUUUUGACGAAACUACUGUAAUAUUCAGUAGUAUGCUGAAAGCAAAUGGUUAGCCGUGUUUUUGAGAACCUUCGGAAGAAUAAAUUCCAACAGGAACCUCGAUUUUGCAUGUUGCAACAUACCAUGACCGGAAGAGGUAUGCUAACAUCGAGGUCACGAGGUAAAUUCUGUUUUUGUGUGUCUCCGUUGUAGCACUCACGUACUACGUUUUGUAAGACUCCAACAGAUGUUGUAUAACAUUGUGUACCCUAAAUUUUACCUAAAUUUUAGAGAAGGUUCACAUCCUCUACAUGUUCAAUAGUGUUCUCUAAACGGUCCACUAAAUUUAGGGGACACUGCUAAAUUAUCUAUAUAUAGAGUCUCCUCAUCUUUUCUAUCCAUUUUAAUACUUUAAGCAACAGAAUUAACAAAACUAAAAUACGUACAAUAUAGUUGAAAGUAUGACAAAUAUAUAUUAAAAAAAGUAAAAUAUGUCUUUAAUAUAGGUAUUUACGUAUAUAGAGAGGAUGUUGUUGGAGAGGGGGAGAUAUAGACAGGGGCGGAGCCAUGGGGCAGGGGCCAUGGCCCCUUCCAAGGCUAUAUUCUAAAUGUUGUGUAGUCUAAAUGUAUAUACUCUAAAUUUUAUCAACAUAAUUAAUCAAAGGUUUAAUAUAGUUGUUGGUAAUAUAUAAUACAUAACUCUUGUAGUAUGCCAACAAAGUCUAAAAGAGACCAAAAAAUAAGAUAAAAUAUUUGUUGAAUGACCAAUUGAUGGCACAAGACAUUAAACCUAAUUUGGUUGCAGACACAUAUCUAAACCUCACCUCUAUAUGAAUCAUCUUAUCGUCUAGCUGGGCAGCUGUCGAUUGCCGCUAACCACUUGACUUGCCUAUGACAUAGCCGUAUAGACUACAAAAACUAGAGAAGGUGAUCACGUGAAGCAACAUAAUAAGCGCUAACAACAUCGAUCACCAGAACCACAUGUCGCAGCUGGGACGUCCGUAUAGACUACAAAUACUAGAUCCAAAUA